Molecule: ribosomal RNA, 253 nt
Filed under: uncultured bacterium
Lineage: Bacteria
Description: partial 16S ribosomal RNA
Rfam family: Bacterial small subunit ribosomal RNA
Source: RNAcentral
CACGUAGGGCGCAAGCGUUGUCCGGAAUUAUUGGGCGUAAAGAGCUCGUAGGCGGUCUGUUGCGUCCGCUGUGAAAACUCGGGGCUUAACCCCGAGCCUGCAGUGGAUACGGGCAGACUAGAGGUAGGUAGGGGAGAAUGGAAUUCCCGGUGUAGCGGUGAAAUGCGCAGAUAUCAGGAGGAACACCGGUGGCGAAGGCGGGUCUCUGGGACGGUACUGACGCUGAGACGCGAAAGCGUGGGGAGCGAACAGG